CUUCAUGGAACCGGUUUGAAGUCUCCCCCUCUCAACUGACUUCACAGCCAUCUUAGAGAAGCUAGGACACGACCAGAUCAUCUUCAAAACACCAGUAAGGCUGAUCAACACUUCAAACUAUGCUUGCCCUCUUCAUAGAACUGGUUUGGAUCUCCCCCUCUCAACAGACUUCACAGCCACCUUAGAGAAGCUAGGAAAUGACCAGGAACAUCUUUAGUGAGACUCAAGCAAUGGUACCUGAUACAUUAUCCCAAAGGUGCAUCAGUACUUAUCAAGAAACAUCACACAAUCCAUUCAAACAUUUUAAGUAUCAUUUCUAGACUUUGAUUUGAAAUGAUGAAUGUAUUGAAUUGAAUUGAGCUUAGAACACUUCCCUUUUGUUUUGGUGAGUUCCCACUCGGCCAUUGCACCAUCUCCAUGGCAUCAUCAACUUCUUGGAAAGGCAGAAUGGAUUCAUCAGCUUCUCAUCAAUCACUUCACCAUAGAAGCCGCUUUGAUGAGUUCACCUUCACCCUUAGACUGCCUAGAAUAGCUCCGGCUGAUGAUCCUUUGUAGGAGCCUUUGCAAAGACUUGUUACUGACCAUGGAUCAUAUGCAUUAAGACUCCCCCUCAAGCUUAGAACCGAGACUAGAAGGAGCUAAGCUUGUGAUGAUCAUAUGCAUCCCCAUGGUCUUAUAACUAUCAGUCUUCCAUGAUAGCUUUUUUCUUGUGAGUUUACUCUCUUCCUUAACCAGGAACUAGGGUGUUUGAAUCACCAUAGAGAGCCUCACAAGACACACUUCUCAUUGCAUAAUGACCCAUGCUACACUUCCUGUAGACUUUGGACUGGAUAUUUCCAAUGGUAUUAUGCAAUGGCCAUCUCUCAUUGCAUAAUCAAUCACACUACACUUCCUGUAGAUUAUGGACUAACAUGUCCUAGUGAUGAUAUGCAAUGGCACUAGACCUUUGUCUCUACAUUCUUGGCUGUUGGCGAGUUACAUGUAUCACUCCUUGUGUACCUAACACCACCACAACUCAAUGCAAGAUCAGAUCAUCCCAUUGGGAUCAAACUAAGAUCUUCCAUCCUGUUUGAUCACCAAUGCCACAACAGUAUAUAAUACUUGAAACAAACCAGACAAUCAAGGCAAGAACAAGUAAAUUUCAAUCUCUAAAAUGACAAUGCAAGCUCUAAACAAUACAUUGACAUUCUAGGUUUAUUUGUUCAUUUUUCAUUUUUUUUUUUUAAGUUCUCUAAAUGCAAUGCAAGCUUACAUCAGUACAUUUGCAAUUUAGGUUCAUUUUUAAAUGCAUCACUACAUGAAUGCACAAUCUUAAAGCAUUAGCUAUAUGAAUGCAACAAGGUCAAUCCAUGAGACAUAUUAAAGCUAUGCUCAACAGUUUCAAUCAAAACCAAUGAUGCAAGCAACUUAGACAAUUUCUAAUUGAUGCUAGACUUUCAUUGAUGGAUUAAACAUAGGCAUUAGCAUCAGUACACACUCGGAUUGAACUUAGACAAUAUGAGACAUGCUUAUGUAUGCAAAACAGCUUUUCAAACAUGAUGCAAGUAGUAGAGACAUUCUACUCAAUUCUACAACCCAUUCAUGAUGAUUCAAGCAAUGGCAACUCACAAGACAAUGCAAUAACCCAAAACAUGAGAUUCUGGGACUCUAGACACCACUCACAGCACAAUAAAUAAAGACACAAGCUCUUAUUAAGGGUUAGGAGGUUUGCUUACAAACAAGAGAUCCGAGCUGAUCUCUUGAACCUCCAUGGGCACGGUUCACUUGAACUUGGCAGGUUUGAGGCUUGGAUUCAGUAUCCAACACCUCUCCUUGGUGUGCCCAUCCCUCUUGCAAUGUUCACACUUCAGGCCUCUCCUAUCCCCCUUCUUGUAAGGUGCCUUGUUGGGCUGAGAGCUUCUUUCAGCUUGAGAAGCAAAGGAGAGUGUUUCCUUUGUUCCAAACAACCCGAUUGAUCCCUCCUCCUUUUGGACUUGGGAACACACUUCUUCAAGUGUUGGGAGCUUCUCAGACCUCAAGAUAUGUUGAAUCAAGGCGCUGUAGGCAGGGCUGAGGGUUAGUAGUAGGCCAAACACCUUGUCUUGCUCCCUUCUUUCAAUCAACACCUCCGGAUCAACAGAUUGGGGUCUAAGCAUCUCUAGCUCAGACCAAAGGGCUCUGAACUUGCCUAGAUGCGCAGUGAACUCCUCAUCUUCUUGGGAUAGGAUGUUGAUGGACUUCUUGAUCUCAAAUACUCGGCUGAUGUUGGAGAUGUUCCCAUAUAUCUUGUUAAGUGUACUCCAAAGGUCUUUAGCACUCUCACAGUAUGAGUAUGCUUCAAGGAUGGAUGGAGACAGUGAGCUAUGGAGAAUGGAUAAGACCUUGAGGUCUUCUUGUUCCCACUUCUCCUCAGAUACAGAUUUGGAACCGGAUUCACCAUCUGCUGAGCUUUCAUUUGAACCGGCAGUCUUGGAGAGCUUUGGAGCAUCCGUGAGGCAAUGGCUCCAUAAGCCUCUCCCUCCUAGAGCUGUCUUCACCAUGCGUGACCAGAGAAGGUAGUUGGGACCAUUGAGAGUAACAGCAAUGACAAUGGUUCUUUUGGACUCCAUGUUGAAGCCGGAUGAACAAGACUGUCAAAGAACUCUUCAAGGUAGUAUCUUGGGACAAGGUGAGCUGAAUCUUCAAGGGCGUGAGCUUGGGAGCUUGUGGAUGUUGCGGAAGCUUCUACCAGGAGUCUGAGCAACCUGGCUCUGAUACCAUGUGAGAUUUUCAGAGUACAAGUGCUUGAGUGAUGUAAGAACAGAUGAGAGAUUUGUGUAUGAUGAAGUAUGAAGAAUAGAAAUGAGUUUAAGAGAAUCAGAGAGAGUAUGGGAGAGACUAAGAGAUUAGGAACGUGUAUGGGAGAUUAGAGAGACUUAGUAACCAGAGAAUAAGAUCCAAGAACAAGUUUAUGAAGAAGAGAGACUCUCUCAGCUUAAAAGUUACAAAAUGAUCCUAAGAGGCUUAUUUAUGCCUUUACACAACUCAGAUCAUAAACCUAGAUCCUAAGGCUGUAAAUUAAAGAUAAAUGGAUGGUUAGGAUGAGAGGAAGCUGGUCUUUGAUGUUCUGGUGCUAGCUGGUCGUGGUUGGACUGAAUGGAGGGCUCAGAUUGCUUCAUUUGAAUUGGAUGGAUCAGAUGAGUCAAGGCUGUAAAGGUAAAGCACCUUUACCUUUCCAGCUCAUACCAACAGCUCACCUUAUCCAUUUGAAUCUUCCUUUGCCUCCAAGACUCCCCAAAGGUCACAUAAGGAAGGAUAAUCCACGCCCACACAUUGCACAUCACCAAACAAAGCUGAUCCGGGUCUUUGGUCGAUCCGGAUGGGAUGUACGGUCGAUGUACGGCCUUGAGGUCCGUACACUCGCCCUAUAUCUUUACCUUCAUCCAAACAUCUUCUAUGGUCGACCCAUACACCUUCUUGGAUCAUCCUAGGCCGUACAGGGCCGUACCAUGGCCGUACCACUCGCCCUAGCUUUGCACCUAUGGCCAUCUUCUCUCUAACUCCUCCAAACCUUUCACAUGAUCAGUCUAAGUCUUUCCUAGACUUAACUUCUCAAGAUAACUACUUCAGAACACUUCUGAAGCUUGAUUGAACUCUUCUGGACAUCUUCUAGAGCUUGCCCUAUUAUUGUACAAGCUCUAUCUUCUCUUCAGUUCAACACUCCCCCUCAAGCUUGACUUUAGGAGAUCCUAAGCCAAGCUUGGAACUCUGAAGAGUCUCCCUCAUUAAAAACCUUACAAGGAAAACCCAUUGGGACAAAACCUUGCAAGGGAAAAAGAGUAGAGCUCUCCAAAGCCUAGGGAUUUGCCAGUUAGCUCUUGUGCCUUAGAACCAGUGUGGUUUGACACAAGAAGCUCUGGAUCACGGCCUAAUAGGUGCAGCAACACUUCACAGCUUUGCGCACACUUCACACUUCAGCUUCACCUCUUCAUGGAACCGGUUUGAAGUCUCCCCCUCUCAACUGACUUCACAGCCAUCUUAGAGAAGCUAGGACACGACCAGAUCAUCUUCAAAACACCAGUAAGGCUGAUCAACACUUCAAUCUAUGCUUGCCCUCUUCAUAGAACUGGUUUGGAUCUCCCCCUCUCAACAGACUUCACAGCUACCUUAGAGAAGCUAGGAAAUGACCAGGAACAUCUUUAGUGAGACUCAAGCAAUGGUACCUGAUACAUUAUCCCAAAGGUGCAUCAGUACUUAUCAAGAAACAUCACACAAUCCAUUCAAACAUUUUAAGUAUCAUUUCUAGACUUUGAUUUGAAAUGAUGAAUGUAUUGAAUUGAAUUGAGCUUAG
This 4309-nucleotide long non-coding RNA is filed under the name Brassica napus (rape). RNAcentral describes it as "long non-coding RNA (BNAP_LNC002542)". Lineage: Eukaryota; Viridiplantae; Streptophyta; Magnoliopsida; Brassicales; Brassicaceae. The record is from RNAcentral.